Molecule: ribosomal RNA, 504 nt
Filed under: uncultured Pseudomonadota bacterium
Lineage: Bacteria; Pseudomonadati; Pseudomonadota
Description: bacterial SSU rRNA
Rfam family: Bacterial small subunit ribosomal RNA
Source: RNAcentral
UGGGGAAUUUUGGACAAUGGGGGCAACCCUGAUCCAGCCAUGCCGCGUGAGUGAAGAAGGCCUUCGGGUUGUAAAGCUCUUUCGGCCGGAACGAAAUCGCACGGGUGAAUAGUCCGUGUGGAUGACGGUACCGGAACAAGAAGCACCGGCUUACUACGUGCCAGCAGCCGCGGUAAUACGUAGGGUGCGAGCGCUAAUCGGAAUUACUGGGCGUAAAGCGUGCGCAGGCGGUUUGUUAAGCCAGAUGUGAAAGCCCCGGGCUCAACCUGGGAACUGCGUUUGGUACUGGCAAGCUAGAGUACGGCAGAGGGGGGUGGAAUUCCACGUGUAGCAGUGAAAUGCGUAGAGAUGUGGAGGAACACCGAUGGCGAAGGCAGCCCCCUGGGCCGAUACUGACGCUCAGGCACGAAAGCGUGGGGAGCAAACAGGAUUAGAUACCCUGGUACGUCCACGCCCUAAACGAUGCGAACUAGUCGUUGGAGUAGCAAUACUUUAGUGACGCAG